GACGAACGCUGGCGGCGUGCCUAAUACAUGCAAGUAGAACGCUGAAGCGAGGAGCUUACUCUUCUUGGAUGAGUUGCGAACGGGUGAGUAACGCGUAGGUAACCUGCCUUGUAGCGGGGGAUAACUAUUGGAAACGAUAGCUAAUACCGCAUAACAAUGGAUGACACAUGUCAUUUAUUUGAAAGGGGCAAUUGCUCCACUACAAGAUGGACCUGCGUUGUAUUAGCUAGUAGGUGAGGUAAUGGCUCACCUAGGCGACGAUACAUAGCCGACCUGAGAGGGUGAUCGGCCAAACUGGGACUGAGACACGGCCCAGACUCCUACGGGAGGCAGCAGUAGGGAAUCUUCGGCAAUGGGGGCAACCCUGACCGAGCAACGCCGCGUGAGUGAAGAAGGUUUUCGGAUCGUAAAGCUCUGUUGUAAGUCAAGAACGGGUGUGAGAGUGGAAAGUUCACACUGUGACGGUAGCUUACCAGAAAGGGACGGCUAACUACGUG
This 497-nucleotide ribosomal RNA is filed under the name uncultured bacterium. RNAcentral's name for it is "partial 16S ribosomal RNA". It matches the Rfam family "Bacterial small subunit ribosomal RNA", at positions 28 to 507 of the family's 1533-position model. The record is from RNAcentral.